This 473-nucleotide ribosomal RNA is filed under the name uncultured Desulfovibrio sp. Its description in RNAcentral is "bacterial SSU rRNA". It matches the Rfam family "Bacterial small subunit ribosomal RNA", at positions 916 to 1381 of the family's 1533-position model. The record is from RNAcentral. Lineage: Bacteria; Pseudomonadati; Thermodesulfobacteriota; Desulfovibrionia; Desulfovibrionales; Desulfovibrionaceae.
GACGGGGCCCGCACAAGCGGUGGAGUAUGUGGUUUAAUUCGACGCAACGCGCAGAACCUUACCUAGACUUGACAUCCCGGGGAUUUUCUGGAAACAGAGAAGUGCUUUAGCAAUAAAGAACCCGGUGACAGGUGCUGCAUGGCUGUCGUCAGCUCGUGUCGUGAGAUGUUGGGUUAAGUCCCGCAACGAGCGCAACCCUCGCCUUUAGUUGCCAGCAUUCAGUUGGGCACUCUAGAGGGACUGCCGGUGUCAAACCGGAGGAAGGUGGGAUGACGUCAAGUCCUCAUGGCCUUUAUGUCUAGGGCUACACACGUACUACAAUGGCCGGUACAAAGGGCAGCCACUCAGCGAUGAGGCGCUAAUCCCAUAAAGCCGGUCUCAGUCCGGAUCGCAGUCUGCAACUCGACUGCGUGAAGUUGGAAUCGCUAGUAAUCGUAGAUCAGCAUGCUACGGUGAAUACGUUCCCGGGCCUU